RNAcentral lists this long non-coding RNA (24300 nucleotides) under Lynx pardinus (Iberian lynx). The record is from RNAcentral. Lineage: Eukaryota; Metazoa; Chordata; Mammalia; Carnivora; Felidae.
GCCCCAAACAGUUUGCCUGCAGAGACCAGAUCACCUGUAUCUCCAAAGGCUGGCGGUGUGAUGGUGAGAGGGACUGCCCGGACGGAUCCGAUGAGGCCCCUGAGAUUUGUAAGUACUUUUUCUGAUCCCUUCUCCUAAACGCCUUUUCCUUUUGGCUCAGGAAGUUUGGGAUAAGGACGACUGAUCUCUAGCCUGGUGUGGACCUUGCUCUGUGAUUGUUUGUCCAUGACACAGCUAAAACUAUUCUCUCCCCCUCUUCAAAGUGCCCGGCACGGUGCAUGAUGUGCUCAGAAUGACACAUCCGAUUGCUCCUUUAGCGGCUGUACCCCCAAGCCUGCCAGAGACUUUGUUGUCUGGGCUGACAGCUUUGCUGGAAGGAGAGAACCCAGCUUCCCUUCCCUUCUUGCUCAGUCCUCUUCUCCCCACCUCUGAGACUUCUGACUCUUAAUAAGUGCCCCCAGGUCUUGCCGGGUCCUCUUCCUGUCCUCAGGUUCCCAGGCCAAAGGCCACUGGCUCUUACUCAGUCUCUGUACCAGAAGCCCCACCCCUGUGCGUUUCCCGCCACCCCCGCCUUCCCCUGCCCCAGUAAGUGGUGUAAUCAGAGGCAGCUGUUUAAACUGGGAGAAAGGUCCGCACCCAGCCUUUACCCUGCCGGGGGGGGGGGGGGAGGUGGAGGAUUUGCUGGCGGGACCCCAGAGUGUUGGGCAGCUGGCAGAGUCCUGGGGUCUCCACCUUCAGCCUCUCGCUGCUUGGCCAAUCGGGGCCAGGGUCUAGGAGACCCUGCAUUCCUAGGUCUGUCCCUGUUCUCUCUCCCAGGUUUAUCCUGCUCCAGCUCUAUUCCCUGUCCUCUCCCUAUACCCUCACCCACAAUGGUCAGGAGUAAUUUUAGGGCCAGAAAGGGAGCCACCCGUUCUCUCUGUCUUUUCCCCAUACCCUGCCCUCGAGGGGUAGAGUCGGGGAUAGUCUUCAAGUGUUUCUAUGGUGAGGGGAGUUCAGCCUGGAGAUUCUUCUUGCCAGAUACCACCUUUACGCCCUACUUUGUUUUACCCUGAUGCUUGAUGUGGGGGUGAUGGUAACCACGCAGAAGGGCCCUAUCUUUCUUCAGUUUGAUGCAGACCCCACCUUAGACACAUCCCCACAUUGUUUGCACUCAUGUACCCUCCCAGACCCAUCGGGGGGGCCCUGAUGCAUCCCUCCCCACCACCAUCACCACCACACACACACACACACACACGCACGCACACACACACGCACACGCACACACACAGACCAGGGCACACGUCAGCACAGACACAUUCUUAUAGCAACACAGAGUCCACACUCUCAAACAGGGAUGCAGAAGCCCAACCUCAGACAGACGCCCCCAGACACUCAUAAAAAUCCAGACUCACUCCUGAAGGACAUGGAAAUGCACAGACUGAGGCCAGAAGCACCAGCACAGACCAGCACGUGCAGACACACCCUCACUCCACACUCCUCGCUCCUCAUCUCCUUCACCCGUGUACAGGUACUCCUCCCCAGGCAUACAUGGACAGAUGGGCUCACACACAGAUACUCUCUCACACACCCUGUCCAGGCAUGGGAGCCAGGGUGCAGUGGUCUGUCUCCCAACGCAUGGGCUCAGCCAGCAUCCUAACCUGCUUGGCCUCCUUAGGAUUCCCUGAGGAGCUCUACCCUUCUCGCCCUGGCCCAUCUUCCUGGGCAACAAAGGAAGUACCAGAGACAUCAUCAGUGGGCCACAACCCUUGAUGCUUCCCAAAUCCUUCCACUAGGCAGGCUGCUCUGGGAUUGGGCAUCUAGAGUGGUAUCGUCCAACAGAAAUAUAAUGUGAGCCACAUAUGCAAUUUUGAAAUUUUCUGGUAGCCACAUUAAAAGAGGUAAGAGUAGGGGCACCUGGGUGGCUCAGUUGGUUAAGUGUCCGACUUCAGCUCAGGUCAUGAUCUCUCAGUCUGUGAGUUCGAGCCCUGUGUUGGGCUCUGUGCUGACAGCUCAGAGCCUGGAGCCUACUUUGGAUUCUGUCUCUGUCUCUGUCUCUGUCUUUCUCUGCGCCUCCCCACUCAUACUCUACCUCUCUCUCAAAAAUAAAUAAACAUUAAAAAAAAUAAAAAUAAAAAGAGGUAAGAGUAGUUAAGUGAAGUUAAUUUUAAUUUUAUAUUACCCAAUGUAGCUGAAAUGUUAUUAUUUCUGUAUAUUAAUCAUAUAAUAUUAGCAAUGAGAUCUUUUGCAUUCUUUUUUGUGUAUGUGGUAUUAAGCCUUUAUUUAUUUAUUUAUUUUUUAUUUUUUAUUUUUUUUGGUAUUAACUCUUUAAUGCCAGGGGCGCCUGGGUGGCUCAGUUGGUUGAGUGUCCGACUCUUCAUUUCAGCUCAGGUCACGAUCCCUGGGUCAUGGGAUUGAGCCCCGUGUCGAGCUCCAUGCUGAGCAUGGAGCCUGUUUAGGAUUCUUUCUCUCUCUGUCUGCCCAUCUUCCCCACUCAUGCUCCCUCUCUCUCAAAAAAUAGAAAAUAAAUUAAAUUAAAGAAAACUUAAGUCUUUAAAGCCAGUGUACUAUUUUAUACUUACAGUUUGAACUAGUCGCAUUUCAGGUGCACAAUAGCCACAUAUGGCUGUUGCUAUGUAUCGGACAGUGCAACUUCAUCUGGCUUUCAGCCCCGGCUCUGUGCCCUAGAGAGCUUUGGGAAGAAAGUGUUCUUUAACAUUUGAGCCUCUCUGCCACGGACGCUGCUUUCCUCGGCUCCUCAAAACCUUUCGCCUCUAAAUCUCAGCCCGUCUCUUGAGUGCACAGUGUGGAGGUGUUGGGGUCCGUACGUAUCGGGCAUGUGGGGAGCGGACUCUGCUGAAGGCCUAGUUCUUCCCUCUGCCCGGCUGCUCCUGGGUGUGUGGCUACCUUUGGGAAUGAUGACAAAGGGCCCUAGGUGGGAAAAUCUAACCAGCCCCUGAGACCUCCUGCGAUCUAAGAAAUGCGGGUAUCUGAAACCCCAGUCUGGGUGUCCUCAUCACCUCUCCAGUCUAGCCACCUUGUUCAUGCCAGGCUUCCCAUCUGCCCCCAGGUCCACAGAGUAAGGCCCAGCGAUGUCAGCCAAAUGAACACAAUUGCCUGGGCACCGAGAUGUGUAUUCUCAUGUCCCGCCUCUGCAACGGAGUCCAGGACUGCGUGGAUGGUUCGGAUGAGGGGCCCCACUGCCGAGGUAAGGGCUCUUCCACUUCUCCUGCCCCAGAUGGAUGCAGUGAGUUCUCAGCCAGGCCUGUGAUGGGUCUGGAGGCCCACCAUCCGAGGACUGUCCUCACACCUUCAGUGGGGAUGAGGCCUUGUCCUGCUCCCAUGCACAGAGAUGCCACCAGAUAGCAGCCCAAAUCAGUGGGCCUUUGAGUUUGGAGCUUGGUCAACAGCCCUAUGGGGAUCAGUAUGGGUGCUGGCCUGGACACUUCUCUUUGGCCAUGUGUGCUUGGCCAAGUCACUACCUCUCUCCAAAUCCCAGUAUCCCACCUGUAAAAUGAGAGCUUUGCACUAGGUCAGUAUUUUCAUACCUUGUUGUUGUAGAUAGUAGGGUCCUUUCUUCACAUGGUUUCUUACAUGCAACCUGAGUGUGAACAGGGAAAAAGAGAUGCUGUGGUUGAAGCUGGGGGUGGGGAUGUGGAGUCUGGUUCACCUAAUUCCCCGCCGAUGCCCCAGAAGCCAUCCCUCAGGAAAUGCAGAUCUUUGAGACACUCUGAAGCUGUUUGAUGGGAGGUCAUCCAGGCCAAGGAGGGAACGUUAGGAUGAUAGGUCCCUUCCCUGCUGUAGCUCAGGUCGCCAGCCCUGCCAUUCUUCCCCCAAAGGCCCCGUGGGCCAGGGAGAGUCUGGGUCAUGUGUGAGCAGCGGGGGAGGAUUCCGUCGGUAAGGCAGAGACUCAUACGUGCGAGGCAGGGAAUAGGGAAUAGUGACUUCUCCCUUCUACUGAGCUCAAGGUCUCCAGAGCUUGAGCAGGCCCCUGGGUGAUGGUGGCGUCUGGGCCUGUACGCAUGUCAGAAACAUCUGCCUGUGGGAGGAGACACAUCUGGAUCCUGUUCACUGAGGGCAGGGAGUGUGGAGCAAGGGAGUUUGUGGAAGAUUUUUAUCCUUUCCUUGGGUUGAUUUUGCAUGUUUUUGUCUAGAGCUCCUGGGAUGGGAUGCAGAGCUUAGGCCUAGGGGCUGACUUGAAUUACCAUGCCCAUCCCAUCUUAUCGAAUGGUACAUGUUCAAGUUUGCUUCCUUUUGAAUACCUUGUCAGCAUCAAAAACAACAAAGAACCUGGAGAACCUAGGGUCUGAACUCCCUUCUCUGAUAUGACAGAAGUUGGGCCUCCUUAUCCUCCUGCCGCACAUCCAAAAGAGAAAUUCUUCUCUAGAUCUUCCAGAACAAAAAAUUACCGCCCCCCCCCCCUGCUGAUCUCCAUCCUUUGUGGGGAAGGGCUGGACAGGCAGCACAUUUGGGCUGUUGGGUGGAGGUGGGGAGGAGAAGAAAUAACCAGGGACUGGCCCCCCAGUCCAGCUCCUCCUGGCAGGCUUAGUGCUUCUAAACGUCUUAGCAUCUCGGGCAGCUCUCUCUCCUAGGUGGGGGGGAAGUGGGGGUGUGAGGCCGCUGGACAAAGGGGUCUUUGUGGCCAGGCCGCCUGGCCCCACGCAAGGCCAUUAAUUGGGUCGCUGGUCUGGGGGGGCAGCUGCUCUCCCACCUCUUCCCCCUCCUGUCUCAUUCCCUUCUGUCUCCCCUGUGGAAGUGGGUCAGCAGCAGGAGGAAAAGAUUAGAGAAAGGUCCUGAGGGAACCAGUUUUGCUCCUCCUCUCAUCUUCUACCUGGACCUCGGACCUUCCCUCUGAGGUCUCUAGGGCUUGAGGGAUGGGCUGGAGAGGUGCUUCCAGACUAGAGCUGGGAUCCUGAGAGGAGAGACCCCAUCCCAUGCCCACUCCUCACCCUCAGCCCCGAAGCCAGCAUUGUGGUUCCUGGGCAGGGCAGAUAAGAGGCAUAUGAAGAGAAUGAGACUCACUGUCCUCGCUCCCUAUUGACCCCCACAACUGCCAGAGCCCCUCUUUCAUGGAGACAGAGGGAGUCCAGAGCAGCCAGAGCAGGAAGAUGUGGAUUCUAAGCCAUAAUUGGCUGUGGGACCUUGGGCCUGUCUUAUAACCUCCCUGGGCCUCAGUUUCCUCACUUGCAAAAUAUGUCAGAUGAUUCUUAAGCCCCUUCCAUCUCUGACACUACAAGCCUUGGAAGUGGUUUCUGAAGGGUUGGCAGGAGUCGGGGGAAGGUUACGGUCUGGGUGUGGCCGCCAGGUCUGGGGGCCUGAGUGCGUGUCGCCUGCCCCCACACAGAGCUCCAAGGACAGUGUUCUCAGCUGGGCUGCCAGCACCACUGUGUCCCCACACUCAACGGGCCCACCUGCUACUGCAACAAUAGCUUUCAACUACAGGCAGAUGGCAAGACCUGCAAAGGUAUGUGAGUGUGUGUGCUUGUGUGCACAUGUGCGUAUGCUGGGGUGGGUACAGGUGGGGAUGGGUGUGGGGAUGGCCAGUGGGCCUGGCCGGGGUAGGAGAAGAAUGAGACAGAAGGUACAAGAGAGGAGGCACGAUUACAUGCCCUGCAGCCUGUGGGCAUGACUGUGAGCCCUAACCACUUACUUCCACCAAAUUCCACUAAAUUCCUCUUAAAAUUACAUAGAUCAUAUGUGAGUUUUCUUGUAAAAACAUUAAAGCAUUAUAGAUAAAAACCAAAGUCUCCUUUGACGAAUCCUUUUCAGUUCUGCUCCCUUUUCCCUCUCUGGAGGUUAGCUGUGUUACCAGUUUGCUAUCUCUCUCUCCAGUCCUUUUUCUGUACAUCUCUCUGCCUGUAUUCACAGAUGAUCUAACUGAAAGUAUUGUUUAUGUGCGUGUGCUCUUUUUCACAUACAUAUCAUACUGUACAUACUUCUCUUCAGUUUUCUCAAUAGGUUCUAGAGAUUUUUCGAUAUUAAUAUGUAGGGAGGGGGGAGCGCCUGGGCGGCUCCGUUGGUUGAGUGACUGGCUCUUGAUUUCGGUUCAGGUCACGAUCUCAUGGUUCCUGGGAUCAAACCCUGCAUCGGGUUCUGCGCUGACAGUGCAGAACCUGCUUAAGAUUCUCUCUCUCCCUCUCUCUCUCUGACCCUCCCCCACGCUCUCUCGCUCUCUCUCAAAAUAAAUAAAUAAGCAUAUAAAAAUAUAUGUAGACAUCUACCUUGUACUUUUAGAAACCACUAUGGAGUAUGACUAUUGAUUACCACGGUUUACUUGGCAAUCUCCCUAUCGAUGAGUAAGAUGUUCCAGUUUCUCUCUGUCACAAACAGUGCACCUUUUCUGUUUUAAGAUUUACCUCCCUGGAGUCUUUGCACAAAGGCCACCUUCUCAGUGAGACCAUCCCUAAAAUCACAACCCACUGCCUACAUUCCAUAUCCCCUUUCUCUGCUUAAUAUUUUCCCACAGCACCAGUCACUUUUCCACUGUAUUAUCACCUCUAACAUAUAACGUACUUCUCUGUUUAUCAUGGAAUGCCAAUAUUUCAUUUAUUAUCAGAAUUUAAGUUUCAUGAGGGCAGCAGUUUGAAUCUCUUUUAUUCACGGAUAUAUCUUCAGAGCCUAGGACAGUACCUGGCAUAUAGUAGAUACUCAAGAAAUCUUUUCUGAAUGAAUAGAUGAUGUGCAUGCGUGUGGGUAUUUCUCGAGGGUAGAUUCCAAGUUCGGACUUGCUAGGUGAUAAAGUUUGCACCUUUCCUGUUGUGGUAGAUUCUGCCAAAUCGCCCUCCGAAGAGGCUGUAGGGAUGGACACCACCUUUGGAUGGUGUCUGAGGGCACCCACUUCCCUGUCCUUAUUACACUGGAGAUGACCAUGCUCUUGCCCUUUUCCCGGCAGACUUUGAUGAGUGCUCAGUUUACGGCACCUGCAGCCAGCUGUGCACCAACACAGAUGGCUCCUUUACAUGUGGCUGUGUGGAAGGAUACCUGCUGCAGCCAGACAACCGCUCCUGCAAGGCCAAGAAUGGUAGGUGGGGUCACCUGUGGUCACAAUGAUAGGUGGCCUCCAUGUUGCUCCCCAAUGGGGAGUGGCCUGAGAGGUCCUAGAGCCCCUUGCUGCAUCGACCCUUCUCUCCUCCACCUACAGAGCCAGUAGACCGGCCCCCUGUGCUGCUGAUUGCCAACUCCCAGAACAUCCUGGCUACGUACCUGAGUGGGGCCCAAGUGUCUACCAUCACGCCCACUAGUACACGGCAGACCACAGCCAUGGACUUCAGCUACACCAACGAGACUGUGUGUUGGGUGCAUGUUGGGGACAGCGCUGCCCAGACACAGCUCAAGUGUGCCCGCAUGCCCGGCCUGAAGGGCUUCGUGGAUGAGCACACCAUCAACAUCUCCCUCAGUCUGCACCGUGAGUCGCCUGCUCCCAGCUUGGAGAGCAGGGGAAGGGAGGGAAGAUGGGCAAGCUGGUGCCUGCCUAGGACAAAGGCAGUUAGAUGGGAUGACCCCUGUCUGGGGCAGGAGUCUAAAUAAGAAGGCCUUGCCUGAAGCUAAGGCAGGGGGCUGCACAAGAUGACGCCUACUUGGAGCAGGGACAGAGUUAUGGCUAUGCUCCCUUCCUUCUCUCUGAGCUCCAGAUGGCUCCUGAUUUUGGCCCAGGGCUGAGGAAGAGGGCUAAGGAGGCACUGAAUGGUCAAUCUCCAGAGACAAGGGACUGUCCCUUCUCAGAGAGACAAGUGUUGAUUAGACCACAGAGGGGCUUUCCCGUGCAGCAGGAGUCAGGGCAAGGGAAAGAAAAGGCCUGGAGCCUUGAGGGAAGCUUGCUAAGUUAGGACUGAGUGCAAAGAGGUCAGGGCUUGGCUGGGUUUGUCUCCAUGUUCCGUUAUUUUCCUUGGGGGCAUGGCCAGAAUGGACCCACGGCUGCAGGGUGAGUGUGGGGGUCCUGAGGCUGUUUUGGGGGCAGCUUUGUGGCAGUGAAUGAGACUAUAGGAGAAGCAGUGAGCCCUGGGGCCACAGGAGUGUUUUAAGACCUCCUGGAUGUUCCCAUUCAAACUCCUUCCCGGGGCUGUACCUUGCUGUCUUAGGGGUGGAAGACAGGGUGUACCUAGGGAUGGGGCCGGGGCAUAGAUCCACUGCCUGGAGCAGCCCCGCUCCUCUCAGAUGCUGUUACAUAAACAAACAAAACAUCUGGCACCAUCACAUUUCCAGGAAAUGCACCACAGGGCUGAGGGGGAAGAUCUGGCCUGUGGUUGAUCUGACCCCCGGGAGGGAGGGUAACUUGAUCUGUGAUCUUGAAUAAAUCAGAAUUCCCUGUCCCUGCUUUGAUUUCCUAAUCCACAUCAUGGGUAUGAGCUUGCCUGUCCAGAUCAGAUAAACUGAAGUGAAAGCCAGAGGUAAGUCACAAGCUUUAGGAUGGUGAACCUUGGGCCUCGUAGAUCUUUAAGUUCCUUCAUUGCGUCCCCAUAUGAUGAUCCCCACAGAAGACAGAGAUCCUCGGAGGAUGUAUGGGCUUAGCUGUGGGGUAGCAGGGGUUCCUGAGAGCCCUCGCCCUCUGUGGCCUCAUCGUAUGGUCCACACCUUGUCUCCAGCUCCUCCAGAGCAUCCCAGUGAUGUCCUUGGGCUGUUGGUCACCAAGGCUCACCUGUGAUCAGACUCGUCUUCCCUGGAAUGCUGGCUGGGGGCUGCCACACGUGGUUGGCUGAACUCUUGAGGGGUGGGCAGAUCAGGGAACCCUAUGGCAGAUAGGGUAGCACAGGGUGAGACCCCAUGAGACGGCUGCCCUCUCCCUGCUCCUUGUUGACAGCCCCACCCAACAGGCCUGUCUGGGCAAACAGCUCUGGCAGCUCCCUCCCUGGCCCUGCCUCCGGGCCAGACGAUGGGCUCGUGGGUAGGCGGCUGGCGAGGGUGCCCUGAUGGGAAACUUCUCCGCUUUUGCUCUGGCCUGGCCCCCUCUCCUGCUUUCCUCCCAAAGUGAAGCAGGAAAUAAGCUCAGGCGGGUACCCCUCCCUUGGCAAAUAGAACCUUGCCUCCCGGUCUGUUGGAUUCACUGGGCCCCUCUGGGGCAGAGUCCAGGAGGCAGGAGGAGACCAAGGUUCCGGGGAGAAAUGCUAGUGGGGUGGAUGAGUGGGUUCCUGUGGCCCCAGCCUCUGUCCCUCCUCCCUGCCCUGCCCCCACCCCACGCUCCAUGCCGCCUGAAUGUCUGGCUGUCACCCUGAGGAUGGUUGUUUUGCUCUCAUCCCACAGACUAAUUAUGGGCCCUGAGAUGAGGAUGUCGGAAGUGUCUCUCCCCUAGCACCCUCCCCCAUCUCUAGUUCAGCCCCUUCCCAGGAGAGGCUGGGUGCCCUGUCCUGGUGUGCGGGUGGCUGUCCCAGGCACUCACCUGUGCAGUGGGCUGCUGGCCUGUAAUUAGCUCCCCAAGGGGGAUGAAGAAGAAAGGCUCCUGCUUUCUCCUGCUUUCUCUCUGCCCCCUGGGGGAGCUCUCCCUGCAAUCAUCCCAUUCCUGGCUAGGACCAUGACCUCCAUUGCACCCCUGGGAGGGAGCCCCAUGCAGGAGGGAGGAGUCUGACAAUUGAGAGGUGCUGGGGCCCAGAGGCCAAGACGCAGAGAGGCGGAGAGAAGCCUGCUUGCUGCUGUGGGAAGAAGGGGGAGCCUGCCCCAGAGAAAACUCUGGGAACAGAAAUAGAAUAGAAAAAAGGAAGGAGGCCAGGAAGUGAGCCUGUUUCACAUGGGUCCUAGGGCUUGUGUGUUGCAGACCUGCUCUGAGUCCUGAGAGCCCUCAGAGGGCCCCUCCCAGAGCCCUGCCAUGCUCAGGGGUUGGUGCAGCUUCCAGGAGAGGCUCCGUGGAGCCGGCUGGGGAUCGAAGCUCCUGCUUUUUCCUGUCUUGAUCCCAGCUCCUUCCCUCUGUUUCUGCCCAAGAGUUAGGGGACACUGUCUUACCAAUGUCCUCACACGUUCCGGAAGGUGUAUGUGCGUGCGUGCGCAUGUGUGUGAGUGUGUGUGCGUGCGCUGUGCGCGCUUUCCUCCCUUAACUGAGCCCAGGCUGCCAGUGCUCCUUCCCCUGUCCGUGACUUUCACUGGCUUGGAUUGGGGGGCCUUGGGGGCUGAGUCCUCACCUCUUCCUUUCCCUCCUGGGAUAUAAUUCCAGGACACAUCCUCCCCUCUGCCACUGUCCCAGCAGCGUGGGGAGGUCUCUGUGGAUUCUGAUUCUGUGACUGGAGAACAUGGUAGUGAGAGCUGGAAGAUCCUUAGGGAGGACCAAGGCUGGCCCCUCAGUUUUUAACACUGCCUUUCCCAAAGCAGGCUGCCUUGAUUUUAGGUUAUACAUGGAUGUGCAUUUUUUAUCAUUAAUUUUUAUUUUUUAAUACCUAUUAGGAAACUCCUAUAACUAGUAUAUCAAAUCUGUGAUUUCAUAGAUUGCUUAGGAUAUAGCAAAAUAAGAAAAAUGAGUUGACUUAAAGAAACAGUAGGUAAAUGAUAGUGCAGGCUGUACAUCACCUUGGCAAGCAUUUCGAAAGUGAUACACAAAAGACCGAAGUUCUAGAAACUGAGACCCACAGGGGUCGGUUGGCCUGGUAGUACCAGAGCCAGGCCUGGUUUGCCCAUUCUGCCCCUCACCUCUGUCCACGCUCUCAAGGAAACUUAAGCUCUGCCCAGCCCCCUGCUGGCUGCCCCUGGGCAGGGCUGAAAGUCAGGUCUGCUGACCCAACCCACCCCCAGCCCUGCAUUGCCUUGGCUGUGUUCCUCUGACCUGUCUUCCAGUAGCUUUGGGUAUGUUUCCACUGUAGAAAGAAUGAGGGCAGACUGCAGGACUGGGGCCCUGGGAAGGGGUGUGUGUGUGGUGAGGGGAAGUUCUGACGCUGUGCAUGGAGGCCUUCAGGGAAAUAAGUUUUGUGUAUGAGGGGAUGCUCUGGAGGGGCCCUCAGGGGUCCUGGGGUUUCUUCCCUGCACCAUCCGCAUGGGGAAGGAGGAGGUAGGAAUAAACGGCCCCCUAGGCUGCAGGCAGCAAGGUUGCGAAAUGUGGCCCCAAGUCCAGCUGGCCAGUUUCACUUAUCCCUCCCUCUUUCUUUGUGUGCGUGUGUGUGCGUGUGUGUAUGUGUGUGGUUAAAAUCACAACAGGAAAUGGGUAGUGAUGUGUCUAGAGGGAAGGCAGAGAGGGGGCAGAGAGUAACCCCCCUGCAUCUGUGAUGAACUGUCUUCGCCGGCUGGAAGGGGAGCUGUCUUUCCACUGAACUGGGCAGCCUGGGCCCUCUCAGCCUCCCAGUCUAUGCCUAUGGAAUACUUCCAGAUUUCAUAUAUGAAAGCCAGCCACCACCACCCUCUUCCUUGGCCUUCCUCACCCAUAGGGUGUCAGAAUCCUGGGGGGCGGGGGCUCCUGCCAGCACACUCUUUGGCCUUGGGCCACCCGCAUCCUGGUGCUUUUGCUUCCCAUUCCCGUCCUGAGUUUCUUAAUCAUUUCACAGCCCUGCUCUCCUCUCCCUGGCUAGGCCAGCCCCACGUCUCCUCUCCGUCUCAGUCUCCCGGCUCAGCUCCAGCCUGUCCUCUCCUCCCCCGCUGUCUCCUUGAAGUUGCCUCUCCACCCAGGCCUGCUCCCUAACCCCCCCCCUUCCCUGUUUUCAAGCCACAGGAAGUAACUUAAGCAAGAAAGAUGUGUUUUAGAGCCCAGCAAGGAUUUCUCAAUAGUGGGAAGAUCCUGGUUCUGAUUCUGAAUCAGAGCUGCAGAAUUUAGGCAUCUCUUCUCUGGGACCAGCACUGACUGCCUUUGUGGACCUGGGCCAGGCAGGGGAAGGAGCAGAGCAGAAACCCCAGGCGGGUACAAGUGGGGCAGGAAGGGAGCCCAGGGGACAGAGGUGAUGUGAUGUGGCUGAGCCAGGGCCUCUCUGGGAACAAGAGGAGCUAAAGUCGGCUCGGCAGGAAACAGGAGCAUGAGACAUGCCAUUUGGCAAAGCUCCUGCCAGACCUGCCUGGCGGUCUUUUACCUGCUUGCAAAGACCCCAGACUCCUGAUCCUCUCCCCCAGCCCUCCCUCUCCCCACUCAGGACGAGAUCCCCAAGUGGCUCUGAGAGGCGGGAGGAUUACCAGACAGAUGUGUUCUCCCACCAUCGUGGGGGCGUCCCAAGGCCAGAGAAGGAGGAUCCUGGCAGUCGAAGGAAAGGGAAAAAGUGAUGUCCCAGUUCUAGGACAACAGCGUGAGGAGUCAGUACUCAACAAAUAUUUGUUGAAUGAAUCAGUAUAUGUGUGUCAGACGCCGGGGAGAGAGAUGAAAGACAGCACCCUGCCCUCACAAUAUUUGUAGUCAGGUAAACAGACUGUGAUGAAAGGACUUACUGGGCCAUACAGGCACCUGAAAUACAGAAAUCUUUCUUCUGGGGGCCUGAGCUGAGUCUUGAAGAAUAGUAGGUGUUAGCCCCAAACUGCGCACCUGGAGGGCCCGCCAUUAGUCAGGAGGCCACAGAGUUCUAGCUGGAGGCACAGAUGGUAACUGGGUGGACAAGGUAGGGAAGAAUGGGGUUGAGGUGAGGGAGGAUCGUGGUAUGAACAGCUCCCACUUAUAGAGUGUUAAUUAUGUGCCAGGCCCUGUGCUAAGUGCUAUUAAUACACCGUCCCAUUUUACAGAUGAGCAAACUGAGACUCAGACAUUAAGUAACUUUCCCGUAAUCCCACAGUUGGAAGAUGAUAGAACCAGGAUUCGAGCCCAGGCUGUCAGUGUCUAGAGCCUGGCUGGGCCCAGGGUGGAGCAGAGUGACGGGAGAGGUGGGGAGUUUCCUGGAAUAAGGACCAGAAUGUGUGUGUCCACUGGGGAUGUGGUUAAAGUGGAAGUGGGUUUCAUCCUCCCUCAUCCACAGGCCUCAUGACCUGUCCUAUAAUCUUUGGGUAUGUGGAUGCAUUGGGGGAUAUUUCCUCACAGCAGGGAGGCGCCCUUCCUCCCCCAGAUUUGUUUUAGGGAAAGUGACUGGAGUCCUGUAGCUGAAGCCAGGGUCUUCUUAGUAAUGGGGUGGGCUGUUGUUUUUGGGAAAGCAACCACUGUUUAGGGAAAUAACUCUUGAACAAUGUGAAUGGUAGAGAAGUUGAGAAAAAUUGGACUUAUAGGGGGUGCAGAGUGCUGAGCAUUGGGGUGGGGGAGUGCAGGGAGGGCUCGUCAGUUAUAAACACACACCCCUGGUCUAUUCUGGAGCCUGGAAGUGAAAGUCUUUAAUGACAUUACUGGCAAGCUGUGGUCUGUCCUCUUGACUAUCCCAUCCCCCUCCCAGCUUCCUAGCCUCCUUCUGUAAGCUGGAAUUUCCAACUUCUUGGCCCCCAGACCAUCCCCAGACCCUUUCCACAACAUAGCAUUCCUCUCCUUGGGUUUACUUGAGGUUCUCCUGUCUUCAGGAUUUGGGGCCUUUGGCCAGAGCCCCUUGGAGGGUGCUCUGGGGUGGCUCAGCCCUGAGAAGCCUGGGCUGCAGGGGACAGUUGCCCUCUGAAUGUGUGGGGCCAGAACAUUCAGGUCCUCUAGGGUGAAACCCAGGACUCAACUUGCCCGCCCCUGCCCCUCAUGCCAUGAGACAGGGCAACGGCCCAGAUACUGCCUAUAGGGGAGCCCAGGAGGGAAGGUUCCCUCUCCCAAUCUGAACCCAUCUGUCUACGCUGGCCUUAGGUAUGAGUGGCCGAGUGUGUGUGUGUGUGUGUGUGUGUGUGUGUGAAGAUGUGUGCAUGUGUGUGAGUGUGUGUGGUUGGGCGGGCAGAGGAAUCUGGACUUUAGGAGAGGGGAAAAUAAUGUGGUGGAGGGGGGUUGGAUAACAAAGGAUUUUUUGGCUUGCGACUAAUAGUCUCCAGCUGCAAAAAUACCAAAGUGGAGGCAAGGCCGGGCUGGGGACUCCCGUUCUUGCCAACUCCUCACCGGCCUGCUGAGUGGGGCCGUGCCUGGCCUUUGGGAGGUGGAAGGGGAGACCGGCCAAGGGUAAAUAAUCUAGAGCAAGGACGAUCCUUCUGCCUUCCUUCCCGGAAUUGGCAGGGAACCCAGGCCAGGAGUGAGGCUCGAAGGUCAAACACUUCCUGGGGCUAAGGGGGUGAUUUGUAGCUGCACCUGGGAUGGGGGGGGCAUCUGAUCUCUUCAGAUUUCUUCCUCCUCCCUUCUCGCUGAGGGAAGGGUGGAUGGGGAGCAGGGGCAGGGUGUUGCCAGCCUGGAGCUGGGCAGUGACUCAGGGAAGCCUCAGGAAGUUAGAGAGGAGGACGCAGCUGCACCAGCUGGUGCUGGGAAACCAGCUUCCAAUGAUGAAGUUCCUCUGCAUGCCAGCAGCCCCCUGCUGUGCCCACCAAGUAAAGGGCACGAAGCCCUAUUUGCCUUUCAACCUGUUUGCCUUCCAACCUACUUGCCUGCUGGCUGCCUGGUGCUGCGGCAGGUCUCCCCCCCCCACACACACACUCUGGUUUGGGACUUUGGGUUUCCUUUGGAGGCGGCCCAGCAGCAUUCAUUUUAAUCUGUUUUCUCCGUGGUAACGGUGUGUGGAGCAGCGUGAUUGCCUUAUCCCAGCACUGGGCCCUCUUCCUACAUGGUCUGGGACCCACACUUCCAGGCUGCUCUGCCCCUCUCUUCUACUGUCGUCAGGGUGCUAGGAGCCCAGGGGAGAGAGUGGUUUGGUUUGGGGGUGCAUCAGCAACCACAGGGACAAUGCCUCAUCCCUGUGACUUCUUUCUCCAGUCACCCUGAAGUGGGGUUUAACGGGGGGACCUGAAAAGGAAACUAGUUUGAUGAGAACCUCAAAUUGGCUCCUUCCCUUCCUCCCCGGCCUAAGUCCUGUGACUGUGAGUCAGUGUCAGGGCCUAGCCAAGUUCCUUGGGAGCCACGUUCCUGUUCCCUUUGCCCCCCACCCCCACCCACUGUCAGGAAAUAGCCUCUGAAUCCCUGUGGGGAGAGGGAAGGAUUAGGGAAGAGUUGAGCAGAGCAUCUAGUCAUUAUACCUACAGCUCUGUGGGGAUAGAAUAACCCCUACUGGGUUUAAGUGUGGGUAGCGUGUGGGGGUAAGGUUCAGCCAAAGGCAGGUGGUCCAAAGAUCUCUUUACUUACUGAAAUUGGUAAAGGUGGAGUGCAAGGCAGGAGUCCUGAGGAGUCACUGUCUUAGAGAUUCCUAGUCUGCAAGAAGCAUCACCUCUGGUGGUGGUAGUUGAAGGGGACAAGUAAGUAAAUGGAUGGGAGCCAGUGGGUCCUGGAGAGGAGGUGCCUAGAAGAGGCCAGCAGGGGUCCCUGUCUCCAGACUUCCAGCCUCCAGACUUCCCACUGCCCUUGCUCCACCCCUACCCUCUUCAGUCCUUUUUAGCCUCUUCCAUCUCCUCCAGAGAUGGCAUAGACUAAGUGUGGGCACCUGGUGUCCAUCCUCCUCCCCUACUCACCUUUCUGAAGCUCCCCUUCUUUCUGAACCAUGCCUCAGUUUACCUUCAGAGUCCUUUUAUGGCCUUCCUCCUAUGUUCUCUGUCCUCCAGCCCUAUAGCUUAUUCUCUGCUCCUUCCUACCCUCCCUAAGACAUGAGGAAAUUGAGCAAUAGGGACAUUGAAGAAACGGGAACAGGAGUGAGUAGAGGAAGUUUGGCCUAUGUCACUGAUUCCAACCUUUUGACACCGUGGGCCUUCCCUUUUCCAUCUCUAUGGGUGCCGUAUUUUGACAUACUUUUCUCUCAGAUUGCAUUUAUUGAUGGUGUGCCCUGCUUUUCCAUUUUUAAGAGUCAUAGAACAUGUACAGUGUUUGGUCAGUGCCCUGGCUAGCAUGAGAUACCCUGACUUACCAUAUAAAAUUGAUGAAAGUCCAGCCAACAUCGAAGAUGUGUGAUAUUUUAGUUAGCCUGAGUGCUGGUAUCUCAAGUAAAAGCAUAUUUAAAAAUACUGGAUGAGCCAGUGGACCUGUCUUCAAUGCCUUUCAGUACCCCAAGAAGAUGGUCCUGCUCAAGGAAGGUCUAGAGUUCAGGAAGCUUGUCCAUCAACUAACCAGCCAAUGCAUACCUAGUGCCCCCUGUGUGCUGGCCUUGAACUCCGUGUGCAGAGCAGGGUUCUGUGGGAGGAUACGCAGACACUUCACUUUGGAGAGGCCAAAUAGGUAGAAAGAUGGCAAAGAAUACAAGGCAAAAUUGUGCCCUUGCCGUUAACUCCUAUAGGAGGAGCUCAGAGAGGAGAAACAGCUGUCACCUACAUGGUGAAGGAGGUCGUCCCAGAGGAGGUGGGCUUCCGGGGGUGGGUUCUGCACCAACAAGGGGUGGCCCUGUCUAGAGGUGGGCCUCCCCCCAUAGCUCUUUCACUCACACUUUUCAGAUGUGGAACAGAUGGCCAUCGACUGGCUGACGGGCAACUUCUACUUUGUGGAUGACAUCGACGAUAGGAUCUUUGUCUGCAACCGAAACGGGGACACGUGUGUCACUUUGCUGGACCUGGAGCUCUACAACCCCAAGGGCAUUGCCCUGGACCCUGCCAUGGGGUGAGGGGCGGGCAGAGGCUGUGGUGGAAGGGAGAGCGUUCAAUGUCCACAACGCAGCUAACGUGCCCUCUGCCCGCAGGAAGGUGUUCUUCACUGACUAUGGGCAGAUCCCAAAGGUGGAGCGCUGCGACAUGGAUGGGCAGAACCGCACCAAGCUGGUCGAUAGCAAGAUUGUGUUUCCUCACGGCAUCACGCUGGACCUGGUCAGCCGCCUUGUCUACUGGGCUGACGCCUACCUGGACUAUAUAGAGGUGGUAGACUACGAGGGCAAGGGCCGGCAGACCAUCAUCCAGGGCAUUCUGGUGAGGGGGAAGCUUUUGCAGGGGAGCCAUUCUCUAGGCCUCCCAGUGAGAGGGAGGACAGUGUGGGACAGUCUCUCUGGUGGGAAGCAGGGUGGACAUGGAGAGGAUGUGGCUUCCACUCUGGUGGAAGCAGUCAUUUUAGAUACACCUUUUACUUCCCUUUUCUCACUUGAUCCUUACAAUGACCCCUGGGAGGUAGGUGGACCAGUGUCUUAGUUCACUUUUGGUGGGUGAAAAAACAGCAGCGUUCAAAGAGGUUAAGUGAUUUGCCUGAGAUUACACAGCUGAGAAAGAGCGCUGGAACCUAGUCUAGAAGCCUUUCCAACUCAGAGGUGGCACCUCCAAUCUGGGAUCAUUAGGGUGACCAACCAUCCCUGUUUGUCCAGGACUGUCCCAGUGUUAGCCUGGGAAGUCCCACAAACCAGCAAAUCCCUUUGUCUUGGACAAGCUGGACAGUCAAUUACCUUGGGUAAGUUAUGUGGGUAGCGAGGGCUGUUACCAGGCAUCAUUGAGGCAAGUCUGCCCUCUCAACUUCCUAAAGCUGGGGGCUGGAGAAUGUUUUCUGUGGACAGAGUUUAGGGCCCAACUCUACUUCAGUCCAAAAUCAUUCCAUCAUCUACUGUAUGCCUAAAUCUCUGGGGAACAUUGUUCCUGCCCUCAAGGGGUUUGAGCAGAGUAGAUGGGGUAAGUCCACAAAUCACCAGACAGGGGAUAAUAGCCAGAGAGAUGGAAUGUGAAGGGAAAGCCUGUGUCUGGUUAGAAGAUCCCAGAAGUUCUACAAAGAAACGCUCUGUGAAGGAUAAGUGGGAUUUUGACAAGCAAAGAUCUCAAAAGCAAGAAAAUCCAACCAGAGGAUACAGGAGUAAAACAUGGAGUUAGACAACCGUGGAAUGAAUUUGGGAGUGUGAAUAAUGAAAUCUGGAUGGGAAGCCAAGGAGCAUUCCAGGGUCAGAGGGAGGAUUCCCUUCUCCUCUCACGUUGACCAUUCCUGCUUGCCCAUCUCAGAUUGAGCAUCUGUAUGGCCUGACCGUGUUUGAGAAUUAUCUCUAUGCCACCAACUCGGACAACGCCAAUGCCCAGCAGAAGACGAGCGUGAUCCGAGUGAAUCGAUUCAACAGCACUGACUACCAGGUCGUCACCCGUGUGGACAAGGGUGGUGCCCUCCAUAUCUACCACCAGCGGCGUCAGCCCCGAGGUGAGUGGGGCUCUGCAGCCCCUUUGUGGACCCUCCUAUGGGAGCCCCCGGUUCUCUCAUAUCAUGACUACUUCUUGUAGCCAUCCACCGUGGACUACCUUCCCUGUCCCCUCAGAUUCCCCUGCCAGCCCCUUCCUGCCCUUCAGCCUCCAGAUCUCACCUCCAAGGAGCCCCUGCCCCCCAUUCUGCUCAGAACAUAGGUUGUUCCUCCCAGUUCCCUGGCUGCUUUAGAGUAGAAGCACCUGACCACAGGCGAUGGCAUGACUGUCUCCCCUGAUCACAGAAGCCCCCACCUGAGAGUCUGAAGGCUAAGUUAUGGUGGGGCAGAGAAAUCCUAGUCCUGUGGUUUCUGAAUCUUCAAAAUGGGACAAUAAGCAUAAAGACCACAUCUGGGUGGGGGAGGGACGGGGGUGGGGUGCCCGGCUGGUUCAGUUGGUGAGACAUGUGGCUCUUGAUCUCGAUCUCAGGGUUGUAAGUUCAAGCCCCACAUUGGGCGUGGUGCCUGCUUAAAAAUUAAUGAAUGAAUGAAUCAAUUAAAAAGACCACAGCAGGAUGGAGUGUGGUCAGACUUCAGGACAUCUUCUCAAGGCCUGGGCACGGGGGCUCUGAAGAGUCCUGACUGGUUCUCUACCCUGCCUGCAGUGAGGAGCCACGCCUGUGAGAAUGACCAGUUCGGGAAGCCAGGUGGCUGCUCAGACAUCUGCCUGCUGGCGAACAGCCACAAGGCACGGACCUGCCGCUGCCGUUCUGGCUUCAGCCUGGGCAGUGACGGGAAGUCAUGCAAGAGUGAGUGACAGGGAAGGGCCUGUGUGCCUGCUGGGAUGGGGUGGGGCGGGAUUCUUAUCUGCCUCCUUACAGCUGGCUGUUUCCAUCAGAGAUGCAGAGAAAUGAAGGGAUUUACCCAACAUUUUGCUUCUAGUGAGGGGCAUAGAAGGAAUUUGAACCCACAUCCGAGAACAAGGCUUUUCCCACUACCCUACUCGGGCUCCAUAGAAGGCUGUCAACUGGCCCAUUCACUUCAUUCAUUCAUUUUUUCACUCAUUCACUCGACAAAUAUCCAGUGAGCAUGUACUACAUGUCUGGCACUCUCCUGGCAAUGAGGAUUCAGCAGUGACAAGAUAGAUGUCAUCUCUGCCUUCCAGAGCUUGUAGUCUGGCAGAGGAGACAGACAAAUAAAAAUAGCUUCGGGUGGUACCUGGUGUUAGGAAGAAAAUAGAGUGGAAUGUAGACUUGCUGAUGACAGUGAGGGCUCCAGGUUAGACAGAGGGUCAGGGAAGGCUUCUCUGUGGAGGUAGGAGUUAAGCCAAGCUCCCUAUGAAGUGAGGAGUUGGAUCACGUGAGGACCCGAAGGCAGAGCUCCCUGGCAGAGGGAACCUACAGUGCCAGGCUCCAAGGCUGAGAACGGCACAGCAUGAGUGAGGGGAGGCAGGAAGGAGAGGUUGGAUGGGAUUCUAAAUGGGAUGAGGAGCUCUUGGUGACUUUCCAGCAGAGAAGUGACGUGAUGUGCUUCACAUUUGUAAGGAGAUCAUGCUGGCUGGCCGCUGGGUGGAGGAUGGACAGCAGGGAAGUGGCAGGAGGCCACUUCUGCCCUGUAAGCAGGAAGCGAUGUGGCUUAGAUAAGGAUGAUAGCAGAAGUGGUCCAAAGUGAUCAGAUUCCAAUCAGAUUCAGUGGGCACUUAACUGAAAACAUGCUACUUGUUACUCUUGCCACAUUUCCCACCCCCAGAGUGCAUAGGCUGCCCACCAGGGUGCUGUCCCCUGGGCUUUAGAUGUUUAUGCAUCUGUCCAUGUGGCCCAGACCCCCUGCUACACCCAUAUCCCCUGACCCAGGAGAGCUGGGGUUUUGCAGAUCCUUGGGCACAUGUACCUAACUUUGUGUCCCCCCUCCUCCCCUCGUGCCUGCCCUAGAGCCAGAACAUGAGCUGUUCCUUGUGUAUGGCAAGGGCCGGCCAGGCAUCAUCCGGGGCAUGGAUAUGGGAGCCAAAGUCCCAGACGAACACAUGAUCCCCAUUGAGAACCUCAUGAACCCCCGGGCCUUGGACUUCCAUGCUGAAACUGGCUUCAUCUACUUUGCUGACACCACCAGCUACCUCAUUGGCCGCCAGAAGAUCGAUGGCACUGAGCGGGAGACCAUCCUGAAGGACGGUAAGGGCCCCCAGUGAGGGAGGUGUACAGACAGGACCCCCGAAGGGCACCCACCUGGGACAGGAAGCGAUUGGAGGCCUGGGCAUCGCUUUCUCAGUGCCCUUUCGGCAUGGAGAGUCCCCUGCUGACUGGCUGGCUGGGCUGGUUGGCAUGGAGAUGAGGGGAUAGACAGAUUGACCCCUGUGUGACCCCCUUCUUGGCUGAGCCGAAAAGAGGCAGGAGGAUGGAUGGUUAGGCAGCGUGGGCUGUCCUUGCCAACCCUUGGGAAAACUCGGGGUCUCUCUGCCAUUGGCUCUGAGCCCCAGAGCUGCACGCAGUACACAGCCCACGAGAGUCCUGAGGCCUUGAAUAGGAGCAGGCAUACCAGCACAUGAUUGCACACGGAAGGUCUGUGCAGCCAGACCUCACGGCCACCGGAGCUGCGUGUUUACUUGUCCUGAGAAGAGUAUGUUUUGUGAACUGAAGCCAGUUUUUCCCUCUGAGCUGCACGGGCAGGUCAACAGUACUUUGUCUCUUGAAUAUCCAUCUGCGUGGAGGCUCUGAGCUCCUGAGUUCCGCCCUGUUCCUGCCGGUUGUUAGGAAUUCCCACACUUGGGCCCCCGGGACAGGGCUCCCUAACCAGUCAUCUAGCUGACGCCAGUUAGCGCUCCCCACCCACCCCCACUGCCGUUGGCUCACAGAACCUCACCAGUCAGCAAUCAUAAGACUUUGGGGAAAUCAAAAGUAACUCAUCAGGAAAAGAUUGGGGUUCCCUAUACCAAGGGAACUGCUAUUUAAGCCUGAGAUGAAGCCUUUGGCUCAGUGAAAAAUCACUUCCUGAUUUAUUCGUUUUGUUAGCUCAGGAUUUUUCGGCCUGGGAUCUUGUGUCACACUUGUGCCCAGAGCCACCCGCACACUGCUCCAGCUCACCCCGGCUCAGGCUCAUGCAUGCCCUCACAUGAGAGGUCACAUCCACCACAUAGGCUUAUGGGCUGCCAUGGACAGUUUUCAGAGACCCUGGGCCUCAACACAGACGCGGUGGCAACACAGUCUUCCCAGCUCUUUCUUCCAACCUCCCACCCUGUCCCACCCACCCUCUAGGGCUUUCCACACUCCCUGCUAGUCAGGUUGCUCAGAGGCAUGUGUAGCCUGAGGGUCAGAGGCAGGCAGUCUUGAGCUUCCUUUGAGGCUCUCCAUUGCCCCCUUCACUCCCUGCAGGUAUCCACAAUGUGGAGGGUGUGGCUGUGGACUGGAUGGGGGACAAUUUGUAUUGGACGGAUGAUGGACCCAAGAAGACCAUCAGCGUGGCCAGGCUGGAGAAGGCUGCUCAGACCCGCAAGACCUUAAUCGAGGGCAAAAUGACGCACCCCAGGGCCAUUGUGGUGGAUCCACUCAAUGGGUGAGUCUUCCCAGGGCCUUGGGGUAGGAGGAGCCAGGAACUGUGGGUGUCAGAACUGGGAGGUGAGACAGAGAGUGAACGGGGAUGGCAGCCUAGGUGGAGUGCUGAGGCAGGAAUCAGAAGCUGAAUGGGGAAAAGUUGCCCCAUCUUCAGGACAAUGGGAGUGGUGUCUUACACACAUACGUGGAGAUCUGGUCCUGUCACUGCCAACUCAGAGCCCUCUAUUGGCUCCCCUGGCCCUUGGAGUGAGACCCACUUUCCUUAUCAGGCCUGGGGUCCUACAGGAUCUGCUUUCAUCUCCUUUGACCUCAUCUGCACCUCUCUUCGACUCUUGGAAACUCUGUCCCCACUGCCCACUGUCUGUUCCUCACACACCCCAGCUCUUCCUGGCUCAAGGCUUUUGCUCUGGGACUUCCUUUGCUGAGCUCUCAGACAUUUGCAGAUCUAGUCCCUUGUCAUCAUUCACACCUGGGCCUCAAAUGUUACCUCCUCAAAGAGGCUUUCUCCACCUGAUUCCCAGUCUACUCUCUAUAUCAUCUCCAUGCUUUGUGUCCUUCCUGGUUUUUCUCAUUCUCCAAUGUGUGUGACCUUCCAGUUGACUUGUUUCUUAUCUGUACCCCUGGAUAGGAUGUGACCUCCAGGAGAGCAGGGGCCUUGUCUGCCUUGCUCUCCACUGGGUCCUUGACUCACAGUAGGCACUCAACAAAUAUUUGUUGAAUGGAAGAAUGAAGGAAGGAAAUGUGGGGGCUAGGGUUGAGCAGGAAGGAAGCCCCCUGGGAGGGGAUCUGGCAUAGCACACGUGGAGUGGGAUCACACAGGAGGCUGCUGAUUGCAAGGGUAGCCCUUGUGGUGCUGACCAAUCACUGCCCACAGGUGGAUGUACUGGACAGACUGGGAGGAGGACCCCAAGGACAGUCGACGAGGGCGGCUGGAGAGGGCCUGGAUGGAUGGCUCACACCGAGACAUCUUUGUCACCUCUAAGACAGUGCUUUGGCCCAAUGGGCUGAGCCUGGACAUCCCAGCUGGGCGCCUCUACUGGGUGGAUGCCUUCUAUGACCGCAUUGAGACCAUACUGCUCAAUGGCACAGACCGGAAGGUGGGCAGGCAGGCACCUGUGUGGGGGUGUUCAUGUGUGCACUGCUAGACCACAUUUGUGUGCGGAUGAGGCUUCUUAUGUGUGAAUGUGUGAGUCUCUCUAUAUCCAGGCCUGUGCACUUCGUGCAUGUUUACCUACGUACCGAUGGACGUGCACACCGGUGUGCUGUGUCUUAUGUGUUGUAUUGCUUGAGGAUUGCCUCUGUAAGAGUCCAUCUGUGAUUGCAUGUUGUCUGCAGGUUUGACACUCAUGUGCACGCCUGGGUGUAUACCUUGUGUGCACCUCGGCAUGUUUAUGCACACACACACAGCACGCUUCGGUGUGUGCCUGCUGUGUUCGCCUCUGUGCAAGUGCAGGAUGACUAGAGAUGGCAUAUAUGUACGCUUUUUCGUUUGGGUGGCCAUGUGUUUUAUGAGUCAUGUGCCUACGAGGCAUGUGGACUAAGCUCUUUCAUAAUAUAUGAGGCGCUUUAUGAUAUGGCCCCUGACUAUCUCUGUGGUCUUAUUUCUGCCCCUGUUCCCUGUAUCCCAGUAUUUGAACAAGAAACACUACACAGCUUGGAAAUUCCCAGCACACAGCAUAUCGAGUGCUGCCCUCUGUGCUGUUGCUUAUGCAGUUUUCUGCCUCCACCCCCACUCCUCCUCACCCAGCACACUGCUCAGGGGCCACCUCUUCUAGGAUGUUGUCUCCAGACCCCUUUUCCAUCUUGGAUUGCUGUGUAUGCCCUCCAUGACACAUACACAGUCUUUUUCAUACCACAGCGUGGCCCUUAAUAGAUCCUGGCAAGUGUUUGUUGGAUGAAGAAGCGAACGGAUGAAUUCUGGCUGUAUGCUCAGUACUGUGUGUGUGUGUGUGUGCGCACACAUGUGUGUUGGAGGGAUAUGAAUGAAUAUGGAUGGAUACAAGGGAGGACAAGGUGGACAAGUUCCCCAUCAGCAUCCCACUGGGUCCAGUGUCUAGCACCUCACUGUGUGCAAAGCUAUCAUCCUCAGGGGCUCCCAGGCUAAUGCGGGAAGCAAGACCCAUACCCAGGACAUGGACAAAUGAGUAGACAAAAUGGUGAUCCCCCUGGGCCUUCCUCAGGCACCCCAUUUGUCUAUAGCUCCUCAGUAACCUCCCCUCAAUUCUUAGAUUGUAUAUGAGGGUCCUGAGCUGAACCACGCCUUUGGCCUGUGUCACCACGGCAACUACCUCUUCUGGACUGAGUACCGGAGUGGCAGUGUUUACCGCUUAGAACGGGGCACAGGCGGUGCACCCCCUACGGUGACCCUUCUGCGCAGUGAGCGGCCCCCCAUCUUUGAGAUCCGCAUGUAUGAUGCUCAGCAGCAGCAAGGUACCCCCUGGGGCUGGGGCCAGUGAGGGGGUGGUACCUAGACAGGGGGGUAAGGCUACUCUGGGGAGGGGGGUGGUGAAGGCACUCCCCAGGGAUCCCAGGCUCUGACUUUUGAGGCUCUCAAGAAGAAAGGCCCCUAACCCAGUUGACUUUGUCUUCCCUCUCUCCUUCCCUGCCCCAUGCCUACGUGUUCUCUUCUUCAACGUGUUCACUAUCUUCUCACCACUUCCUCUCUUUCUCACUCCUCACUUCAAUGUGUCUUUUCCCUGUCCUCUCAUCUCCUGUCUCUGGCCUCUGCUGACUCUAUGACAACCCUGUCCUUCCCGGCCCCUCCCUUGGCCCCUCCUUUGCAGUGGGUACCAACAAAUGCCGGGUGAACAACGGUGGCUGCAGCAGCCUGUGCCUGGCCACCCCUGGGAGCCGCCAGUGUGCCUGCGCCGAGG